Molecule: ribosomal RNA, 482 nt
Filed under: uncultured bacterium
Lineage: Bacteria
Description: partial 16S ribosomal RNA
Rfam family: Bacterial small subunit ribosomal RNA
Source: RNAcentral
GACGAACGCUGGCGGCGUGCUUAACACAUGCAAGUCGAACGAUGAAGAAGAGAAACGCGAACUUCGGUUCAAAUUUCACUCCGGAUUAGUGGCAGACGGGUGAGUAACGCGUGAGCAACCUACCUCUUACAAAGGGAUAGCCUCGGGAAACCGUGAUUAAUACCAUAUGACACAUUCAUAAGGCAUCUUAAGAAUGUUAAAGCUACGGCGGUAAGAGAUGGGCUCGCGUCCCAUUAGCUAGUUGGUGAGGUAACGGCCCACCAAGGCGACGAUGGGUAACCGGCCUGAGAGGGUGAACGGUCACAUUGGAACUGAGACACGGUCCAAACUCCUACGGGAGGCAGCAGUGGGGAAUAUUGCACAAUGGAGGGAACUCUGAUGCAGCGACGCCGCGUGAGCGAUGAAGGAAUUCGUUUCGUAAAGCUCUGUUCUAUGGGAAGAAAAGGACUGUACCAUAGGAGAAAGCCCCGGCUAAAUACGUG